RNAcentral lists this ribosomal RNA (507 nucleotides) under uncultured Sphingobacteriales bacterium. RNAcentral describes it as "bacterial SSU rRNA". It matches the Rfam family "Bacterial small subunit ribosomal RNA", at positions 903 to 1382 of the family's 1533-position model. Lineage: Bacteria; Pseudomonadati; Bacteroidota; Sphingobacteriia; Sphingobacteriales. The record is from RNAcentral.
UGCGCCUUGCCAGCCCGCUCAGAAACUCAAAGGAAUUGACGGGGGCCCGCACAAGCGGUGGAGCAUGUGGUUUAAUUCGAUGAUACGCGAGGAACCUUACCUGGGCUCGAACGUAAGAUGACUGUAGGUGAAAGCUUACAUCUCUUCGGAGCAUUUUACGAGGUGCUGCAUGGUUGUCGUCAGCUCGUGCCGUGAGGUGUCGGGUUAAGUCCCAUAACGAGCGCAACCCUUACCGUUAGUUACCAUCAGGUUAAGCUGGGGACUCUAGCGGGACUGCCACCGUAAGGUGAGAGGAAGGUGGGGAUGACGUCAAAUCAGCACGGCCCUUAUGUCCAGGGCUACACACGUGUUACAAUGGCCGGUACAAAGGGCAGCUACUUCGCGAGAAGAUGCUAAUCUCGAAAGCCGGUCUCAGUUCGGAUCGAAGUCUGCAACCCGACUUCGUGAAGCUGGAUUCGCUAGUAAUCGCGCAUCAGCCAUGGCGCGGUGAAUACGUUCCCGGGCCUU